AGCAGGCGAGCAGUUUACACGGAAUCCAAGCGCUCAGCGGGGAGCAGAGCAAGGCCGAGUGUUUUCCCCAGCUGCUGAGGAAGGAAUCGUCUCUUCAAGGGCAGAAAAUGAAAGAUAAAGCCAGACUGUGAUGUGAGUUCAAGGUGGAUGGACCAUUUUUAUUGGAAGAAUGGGGAAAGACUCCAUGUAGCAGAUAACAACAGUUAACAAAUUGGGCCUCCACCUCUCCUGGGCACUCUUCAAGCUUUACACAGUAGUCUCAUUUACUCCUCACACCAACAACAUGGCUUGUCCCUCAUGAGGAGCCUAGAGUAUUACCCCUCACCCCCAAAGGGUGCUGCAUAGAAGACCAACUGAAGCUACCAUGAUUGCUGCAAAUUCUCAACAUCUCAGAUUCCACUGGGUUCUCUGCCAAAAUGGUAGUCAACAGCCCAACCCAACAGUUUUUCCAACUUGACUCAAACUUUCUUGUCUCGUUUCCUCAUAUUGGGGUUGUGGGGCUGGAGUGGGGGUAGGGAGUGAGAAAGCAAGCUUGGAGGCUUCACUGUGCCCCCACUAAGUCUUGAGUUCCUGAAGAUGGGGCUUUGUCUUCUCCUUUUUAUAUCCCCAGAAGAGAAUACGGUGCUGGGGAGACAGAUGCACAGUGAUGCCUAUCAGAUGAGCAAAUGAAGGUGAUUCGGGGGCACUUUCUGAUGCACUGAACAAAUGGCCACACUGAUGGUUUGUCCUCCUGGGCCCUCAGGCAGGAGUCACUUGGCACAGGCUUCAGCUUGUGAAGUCCCCGGAAACCUGUGGGCACAGUUCCUGGGAAAUCUUUCAUUUUCACCACAUCUUCUAAGCUUCUACAGCAGCUCAGGAAGGGGGUGGUUUUCUUAGAGAGCCCAACCCAUUGAUAUGCUGGGUGGGUUGUUGAAAACCAACCUGGAGA
Long non-coding RNA from Odocoileus virginianus texanus, 928 nucleotides. RefSeq lists it as uncharacterized. NCBI's taxonomy places the organism in Eukaryota, Metazoa, Chordata, Mammalia, Artiodactyla, Cervidae. The record is from RefSeq and is a predicted model, not a curated record.